GCUCUCGUCGUUCAAUGGAUAGGACACAACUUUGCGGAAGUUGCGAUGUAGGUUCGAUUCCUACCGAGAGCA
RNAcentral lists this transfer RNA (72 nucleotides) under Minisyncoccota bacterium. RNAcentral's name for it is "tRNA-Arg". It matches the Rfam family "tRNA". Rfam says of the family: Transfer RNA (tRNA) molecules are approximately 80 nucleotides in length. Their secondary structure includes four short double-helical elements and three loops (D, anti-codon, and T loops). The record is from RNAcentral. Lineage: Bacteria; Bacillati; Minisyncoccota.